GACGAACGCUGGCGGCGUGCUUAACACAUGCAAGUCGAACGGAAAGGCCCUGCUUUUGUGGGGUGCUCGAGUGGCGAACGGGUGAGUAACACGUGAGUAACCUGCCCUUGACUUUGGGAUAACUUCAGGAAACUGGGGCUAAUACCGGAUAGGAGCUCCUGCUGCAUGGUGGGGGUUGGAAAGUUUCGGCGGUUGGGGAUGGACUCGCGGCUUAUCAGCUUGUUGGUGGGGUAGUGGCUUACCAAGGCUUUGACGGGUAGCCGGCCUGAGAGGGUGACCGGCCACAUUGGGACUGAGAUGCGGGCCAGACUCCUACGGGAGGCAGCAGUGGGGAAUAUUGCACAAUGGGCGGAAGCCUGAUGCAGCAACGCCGCGUGCGGGAUGACGGCCUUCGGGUUGUAAACCGCUUUCGCCUGUGACGAAGCGUGAGUGACGGUAAUGGGUAAAGAAGCACCGGCUAACUACGUG
RNAcentral lists this ribosomal RNA (468 nucleotides) under uncultured bacterium. RNAcentral describes it as "partial 16S ribosomal RNA". It matches the Rfam family "Bacterial small subunit ribosomal RNA", at positions 28 to 507 of the family's 1533-position model. The record is from RNAcentral.